This 834-nucleotide ribosomal RNA is filed under the name Vibrio harveyi. Its description in RNAcentral is "bacterial SSU rRNA". It matches the Rfam family "Bacterial small subunit ribosomal RNA", at positions 211 to 1037 of the family's 1533-position model. Lineage: Bacteria; Pseudomonadati; Pseudomonadota; Gammaproteobacteria; Vibrionales; Vibrionaceae. The record is from RNAcentral.
CCUCUCGCGUCAGGAUAUGCCUAGGUGGGAUUAGCUAGUUGGUGAGGUAAGGGCUCACCAAGGCGACGAUCCCUAGCUGGUCUGAGAGGAUGAUCAGCCACACUGGAACUGAGACACGGUCCAGACUCCUACGGGAGGCAGCAGUGGGGAAUAUUGCACAAUGGGCGCAAGCCUGAUGCAGCCAUGCCGCGUGUGUGAAGAAGGCCUUCGGGUUGUAAAGCACUUUCAGUCGUGAGGAAGGUAGUGUAGUUAAUAGCUGCAUUAUUUGACGUUAGCGACAGAAGAAGCACCGGCUAACUCCGUGCCAGCAGCCGCGGUAAUACGGAGGGUGCGAGCGUUAAUCGGAAUUACUGGGCGUAAAGCGCAUGCAGGUGGUUUGUUAAGUCAGAUGUGAAAGCCCGGGGCUCAACCUCGGAAUAGCAUUUGAAACUGGCAGACUAGAGUACUGUAGAGGGGGGUAGAAUUUCAGGUGUAGCGGUGAAAUGCGUAGAGAUCUGAAGGAAUACCGGUGGCGAAGGCGGCCCCCUGGACAGAUACUGACACUCAGAUGCGAAAGCGUGGGGAGCAAACAGGAUUAGAUACCCUGGUAGUCCACGCCGUAAACGAUGUCUACUUGGAGGUUGUGGCCUUGAGCCGUGGCUUUCGGAGCUAACGCGUUAAGUAGACCGCCUGGGGAGUACGGUCGCAAGAUUAAAACUCAAAUGAAUUGACGGGGGCCCGCACAAGCGGUGGAGCAUGUGGUUUAAUUCGAUGCAACGCGAAGAACCUUACCUACUCUUGACAUCCAAAGAACUUUCCAGAGAUGGAUUGGUGCCUUCGGGAACUCUGAGACAG